CAAUUCAAAUCAGUAUUAUGUUGAACUAUUUUCUGGAUUUGUUACUUAUGUCAAUAUCAUAAAGUUUUGUGCAUUAAGUGCAUCAUUGAAAUUCGUUAUUAGCUCUAUAUUGAAGCUUUUCAAAAGCUGAUGUUAGUGAAUUUCUUGACUUAAUUAAAAUAAGUACCUAGCUGCCUGCCUACAUGCACAGUGAUAGUGAAGCUGGCCAAAUCAAGAAACUAAGUGCCUACUGGACUGGAAAAACAAAUGUACAUCCGGCGGCCGGCGGGUCUCACUGCGGUCCAGGUGGCGGUGGUGACUGUGGUCGGGACGCUGGGCGGCUACUACAUCUGGCGGCCGGCCUUCGAGAAGCGAGGGGCGUCCAGCGGCGCCGACCAGCCGUCCCAGCCGCCCCCGACGGCGCCGGCGAGCGGCUGAGGUGAGGUCCGGCCCAGUCCUCCACCUGAGCAGCGAUGGCGCUGCCGCCGGCCAAGGUGCUGCGCUGGGUGGGUAUCGCGGGUGUCGCGGCCUUGGGGUUCGCGGUGCUCCGGCCCUACCUGGCCCGGUAUCGGGACCGUCGUGCCGAGACGGACAUCGCAGACCUGCUGGCGUCCCGGCGCCGGCCGCCCCCCGGCGACCUGUAGACGGUCAGCCGGCGGCUCGCGGCAGAACCGCCUGCCUGUAGACGCGAUAGACCAGGGCCUUUGUGAUAUAGCGGGGAUGCAGUGAGGCCGAGUAUGUUAUGGUAGCUGGAAGAGUGAGACGGUGCGGGGCGGAAGCCAUGAAUGAGAAGGUGCCGGACAGAUGUGUCCUGGGGGAGCUACGUCGUUAGAGCGUUAGCCGGAAAGGAGCGAGAUGUUGCCGGGCAGCGCGUGGGCUGUAUGUAGGAUGAGGCCUGCGCCGGAGUGGUGAUGCCCGCCCUGUAAGCGGACUUUGUGACUGGCUCGAGUAAUGUUCGCACUCUGCCCGCGUUCACCGUUUGAAGUGAUCAUGUGAGACGGCCGUUUUACCCAAAUACAUGACUUAUAGCUAUUA
RNAcentral lists this unclassified non-coding RNA (1014 nucleotides) under Amphibalanus amphitrite. Its description in RNAcentral is "zinc transporter 9-like, transcript variant X14". Lineage: Eukaryota; Metazoa; Arthropoda; Thecostraca; Balanomorpha; Balanidae. The record is from RNAcentral.